CCUACNGGGUGCACCAGUGGGGAAUAUUGGACAAUGGGCGCAAGCCUGAUCCAGCCAUGGCGCGUGAGUGAAGAAGGCCUUAGGGUUGUAAAGCUCUUUCACCGGUGANGAUAAUGACGGUNACCGGAGAAGAAGCCCCGGCUAACUUCGUGCCAGCAGCCGCGGUAAUACGAAGGGGGCUAGCGUUGUUCGGAAUUACUGGGCGUAAAGCGCGCGUAGGCGGAUAGAUAAGUCAGAGGUGAAAUCCCGGGGCUCAACCCCGGAAUUGCCUUUGAUACUGUUUAUCUUGAGUGCAGAAGAGGUAAGUGGAAUUCCGAGUGUAGAGGUGAAAUUCGUAGAUAUUCGGAGGAACACCAGUGGCGAAGGCGGCUUACUGGUCUGCAACUGACGCUGAGGCGCGAAAGCGUGGGGAGCAAACAGGAUUAGAUACCCGCGUAGUC
RNAcentral lists this ribosomal RNA (440 nucleotides) under uncultured bacterium. RNAcentral describes it as "bacterial SSU rRNA". It matches the Rfam family "Bacterial small subunit ribosomal RNA", at positions 338 to 795 of the family's 1533-position model. The record is from RNAcentral.